Molecule: unclassified non-coding RNA, 391 nt
Filed under: soil metagenome
Description: partial contains 5.8S ribosomal RNA, internal transcribed spacer 2, and large subunit ribosomal RNA
Rfam family: 5.8S ribosomal RNA (bases 1-122)
Source: RNAcentral
GAUGAAGAACGUAGCGAAAUGCGAUACUUGGUGUGAAUUGCAGAAUCCCGUGAACCAUCGAGUCUUUGAACGUAAGUUGCGCCCGAAGCCACUAGGCCGAGGGCACGCCUGCCUGGGCGUCACACGCCGUUGCCCCCCCAUCUACUCCUUCGGGAUUGCGGGGGGGCGGAUGAUGGCCUCCCGUGCGCCUAGCCGCGCGGUUGGCAUAAAUACCAAGUCCUCGGCGACGCACGCCACGACAAUCGGUGGUUGCGAAACCUCGGUUGCCCGUCGUGUGCGUUCGUCGCGCAUCGAGGGCUCGAAAAAAUGCUCGGCUCCGGCUGGGCUUUCAACGCGACCCCAGGUCAGGCGGGGUUACCCGCUGAAUUUAAGCAUAUCAAUAAGCGGAGGA